GUUGGGUAGGGGAGCGUUCUGUAAGCCGUUGAAGGUGUGUCGUGAGGCAUGCUGGAGGUAUCAGAAGUGCGAAUGCUGACAUAAGUAACGAUAAAGCGGGUGAAAAGCCCGCUCGCCGGAAGACCAAGGGUUCCUGUCCAACGUUAAUCGGGGCAGGGUGAGUCGACCCCUAAGGCGAGGCCGAAAGGCGUAGUCGAUGGGAAACGGGUUAAUAUUCCCGUACUUGGUGUUACUGCGAAGGGGGGACGGAGAAGGCUAUGUUGGCCGGGCGACGGUUGUCCCGGUUUAAGCGUGUAGGUGUGUGUUCCAGGUAAAUCCGGUUCACUUUAACACUGAGGCGUGAUGACGAGGCACUACGGUGCUGAAGCAACAAAUGCCCUGCUUCCAGGAAAAGCCUCUAAGCCUCAGGUAACAUCAAAUCGUACCCCAAACCGACACAGGUGGUCAGGUAGAGAAUACCAAGGCGCUUGAGAGAACUCGGGUGAAGGAACUAGGCAAAAUGGUGCCGUAACUUCGGGAGAAGGCACGCUGACACGUAGGUGAAGUGGUUUACCCAUGGAGCUGAAGUCAGUCGAAGAUACCAGCUGGCUGCAACUGUUUAUUAAAAACACAGCACUGUGCAAACACGAAAGUGGACGUAUACGGUGUGACGCCUGCCCGGUGCCGGAAGGUUAAUUGAUGGGGUCAGCGCAAGCGAAGCUCCUGAUCGAAGCCCCGGUAAACGGCGGCCGUAACUAUAACGGUCCUAAGGUAGCGAAAUUCCUUGUCGGGUAAGUUCCGACCUGCACGAAUGGCGUAAUGAUGGCCAGGCUGUCUCCACCCGGGACUCAGUGAAAUUGAACUCGCUGUGAAGAUGCAGUGUACCCGCGGCAAGACGGAAAGACCCCGUGAACCUUUACUAUAGCUUGACACUGAACACUGGUCCUUGAUGUGCAGGAUAGGUGGGAGGCUUUGAAGUGUGGACGCCAGUCUGCAUGGAGCCAUCCUUGAAAUACCACCCUUUAAUGGCUGGUGUUCUAACGUGGGCCCGUGAACCGGGUUGCGGACAGUGUCUGGUGGGUAGUUUGACUGGGGCGGUCUCCUCCUAAAGAGUAACGGAGGAGCACGAAGGUUGGCUAAUCCUGGUCGGACAUCAGGAGGUUAGUGCAAUGGCAUAAGCCAGCUUGACUGCGAGCGUGACGGCGCGAGCAGGUGCGAAAGCAGGUCAUAGUGAUCCGGUGGUUCUGAAUGGAAGGGCCAUCGCUCAACGGAUAAAAGGUACUCCGGGGAUAACAGGCUGAUACCGCCCAAGAGUUCAUAUCGACGGCGGUGUUUGGCACCUCGAUGUCGGCUCAUCACAUCCUGGGGCUGAAGUAGGUCCCAAGGGUAUGGCUGUUCGCCAUUUAAAGUGGUACGCGAGCUGGGUUUAGAACGUCGUGAGACAGUUCGGUCCCUAUCUGCCGUGGGCGCUGGAAGAUUGAGGGGGGCUGCUCCUAGUACGAGAGGACCGGAGUGGACGCAUCACUGGUGUUCGGGUUGUCAUGCCAAUGGCACUGCCCGGUAGCUACAUGCGGAAGAGAUAAGUGCUGAAAGCAUCUAAGCACGAAACUUGCCCCGAGAUGAAUCUUCCCUGAGCCUUUAAGGCUCCUGAAGGAACGUUGA
Molecule: ribosomal RNA, 1641 nt
Filed under: Salmonella enterica subsp. houtenae serovar 50:z4,z23:-
Lineage: Bacteria; Pseudomonadati; Pseudomonadota; Gammaproteobacteria; Enterobacterales; Enterobacteriaceae
Description: bacterial LSU rRNA
Rfam family: Bacterial large subunit ribosomal RNA
Source: RNAcentral